AAUCCAUGAUGUGGGUACCUCCAUAAAAAAUCCUUGAAGCACUCCCAUGUCUCAAACAAGGACUCCAACUCCAUCUGUACAAAUGAUGAUAUCUCAUUAUGAAGCUU
This is a small nucleolar RNA of Dioscorea cayenensis subsp. rotundata (Guinea yam), 107 nucleotides long. The record is from RefSeq and is a predicted model, not a curated record. Lineage: Eukaryota; Viridiplantae; Streptophyta; Magnoliopsida; Dioscoreales; Dioscoreaceae.